This 497-nucleotide ribosomal RNA is filed under the name uncultured bacterium. Its description in RNAcentral is "partial 16S ribosomal RNA". It matches the Rfam family "Bacterial small subunit ribosomal RNA", at positions 28 to 507 of the family's 1533-position model. The record is from RNAcentral.
GACGAACGCUGGCGGCGUGCCUAAUACAUGCAAGUUGAGCGCUGAAGGUUGGUACUUGUACCAACUGGAUGAGCAGCGAAUGGGUGAGUAACGCGUGGGGAAUCUGCCUUUGAGCGGGGGACAACAUUUGGAAACGAAUGCUAAUACCGCAUAAAAACUUUAAACACAAGUUUUAAGUUUGAAAGAUGCAAUUGCAUCACUCAAAGAUGAUCCCGCGUUGUAUUAGCUAGUUGGUGAGGUAAAGGCUCACCAAGGCGAUGAUACAUAGCCGACCUGAGAGGGUGAUCGGCCACAUUGGGACUGAGACACGGCCCAAACUCCUACGGGAGGCAGCAGUAGGGAAUCUUCGGCAAUGGACGAAAGUCUGACCGAGCAACGCCGCGUGAGUGAAGAAGGGUUUCGGAUCGUAAAACUCUGUUGGUAGAGAAGAACGUUGGUGAGAGUGGAAAGCUCAUCAAGUGACGGUAACUACCCAGAAAGGGACGGCUAACUACGUG